This is a small nucleolar RNA of Ochotona princeps (American pika), 78 nucleotides long. Its record names the gene SNORD79. It matches the Rfam family "Small nucleolar RNA SNORD79". From Rfam's summary of the family: snoRNA U79 or Z22 is found in intron 7 of the gas5 gene in humans and is also present in mice. U79 is a member of the C/D class of snoRNA which contain C (UGAUGA) and D (CUGA) box motifs. Most of the members of the C/D box family function in directing site-specific 2'-O-methylation of substrate RNAs. Lineage: Eukaryota; Metazoa; Chordata; Mammalia; Lagomorpha; Ochotonidae. The record is from Ensembl.
CAUUGUUGAUGAUGACAUACAGUUAAAACAGAUGGGAAUCUCUCUGAAAGAACUGGUGCCCAUAUGAGAAUCCCAGUG